UUUUAGAGGAUCAAUGGCUGAUAGUUUUUUUUUUUUUUUUCUCUUUUACAGUUAACUUGUCAGCUCUGGAAAACAAUGCUGUUGGUUUCUUAGACUUUUGCAAGGAUCACAGCUGAAAAAACAUCACAGAAAGGAAGGAUUCUGGAAGCGCUGGCGUUUUAAAGAUAAAUGGUAAAACUGAACUGGAAAUCCAUCUGGCUGGCUGCCUGCUCUAAUGAAUAACCCCACUUUGGCUCGUGCAAUGUAAGCAGAAAGUUCUCUCCCGGCCUCUUUCGUCCGUCAUGAAUCUACAAGACAGCCGACAUAAUAUCUGGGCGACAACAGUGCGCUAACAGUGCAGUGACUUCCAUUUUCUUUGCUUUCUAUUGAUUUUCACUUAAUAACUGGCGAAAUACUAAACGUCCGCCCUGAGUACCUAAUAAAUCCUGC
This 429-nucleotide long non-coding RNA is filed under the name Chinchilla lanigera (long-tailed chinchilla). RNAcentral's name for it is "lncRNA (ENSCLAG00000025559.1)". The record is from RNAcentral. Lineage: Eukaryota; Metazoa; Chordata; Mammalia; Rodentia; Chinchillidae.